Molecule: long non-coding RNA, 1451 nt
Organism: Lucilia sericata (common green bottle fly)
Lineage: Eukaryota; Metazoa; Arthropoda; Insecta; Diptera; Calliphoridae
Exons: 5
Source: RefSeq, a predicted model, not a curated record
CAAACACUUUUUCUUUUAAAUUUUGUGAGCAAAAUUAAUUCUGCCCUUAAUUAUCAUCACUGAGAAACAUGAAGUUGAGCCUAAAUAGUGUAAAUUUAGUUCAUUUAUCCAAAAUUAAACUCAAAUUUGCUGGCAGGGUGUUGACGUGUGACCAUCACCCUUUAGUGUUUUUGAAUUGUCAAAAAUGACACCUCUGUAUACUUUGUGCGUUCGGUCUCCCCUUCAAGGAAAAUAAGUUGGAACAGAUGAAACAACCAAUGGAUGUACCUUUCCAAAAAUUUAUUUUAAUGACAAAUCUUGCCUUGGUAAUGGUUUAUACCAAUGUAAAAAAGUAUGACAUGUCAUACAUUUUAACAAAGAUGUCUUUCAGCAUUGUUUGGUGCGAUUCGCAGCAAAGGUGUACAGAACGAUCAUCCCUCACCACAAGACUUCAAGUUUAGAUUAAGAAAAUACAGAAGCACGAAAUACCGAAUACCUAAAUGGUACCGAAAACGAUAACACUGAAUGGUUCAAUUCUACAAAUUUUACAAUUACAAGUUUGCCAAAAGUUGUUGAAGUAUCGGAAGAAAUCCAUCUUGAUUGCCAAGCUCCGAUAUCGACACAUACCCCGAUGGAAGAACACUUUUUAGUCCUAGACGAAACGGAUUUAGAUGACAUUUUUAUUCUUCAAGAGUGUGCUCUAGAAUAUAUAUCUGGAUCUGCGAAGUAUCGAAAGGUUCAUUAAAAAAACCAUCAAACUGUUUCCUUCAAAAAAUAAAAAGUUUAGAAGUAUGUCAAUGGAAGAGAAAUAUAGCACAGAACAAACAUCCGUCAACACUUACUUAAUGAAAGUUCAUCUGUAGACCUACCUGAACGCAUUAAGCAGCUCAAUGCAGAGAAAUAUAGCACAGAACAAACCCCCGUCAAGAUUUACUUAAUGAAAGUUCAACUGUAGACCUACCUGUACGCAUUAAGCAGUUCUUUUUCAGAUGCCGAAUAUUUGUUCGGCUACGGAAUUUAAAUAAGGACCAAAAACAAGCGUUAAUCGGCUCUUUAACCAGCAUUCGCAUCAACAGCCUUCCGUACGAGACUAAGUCCGAUCUCUCUAAUAGCUCUAAGACUUUAGACCAGCGUUGCGCGUACAUAUUGUUCAAAUUACAAAGAUUUUUGGCAAUUCACACGUACACUACCCGAUCGAAAACAAAACUCACAGCAAGAGCGUAAAAAUACAAAAAAUUAUCUUCAGUUGCCUAACAGCAUUCAACAAUGUAGGUUGACGUCGCUUUGUUUCAAAAAUUGCAAAAACAAUUUGUAAAAACAACAACACAUUUUGUAAACAAGAGAAUUACUUGCAAAAACUCGUAGACUCCAAAAAAUUUCACUAAUGCAUAAGAAUGUAAACACAUAAAAACAGUAUUUUAAAUACUUUUUUACACAUUUUAAAUAAAAAACCUUAUCUUUGUGAAGAGAUA